RNAcentral lists this transfer RNA (72 nucleotides) under Camelus bactrianus (Bactrian camel). It matches the Rfam family "tRNA". From Rfam's summary of the family: Transfer RNA (tRNA) molecules are approximately 80 nucleotides in length. Their secondary structure includes four short double-helical elements and three loops (D, anti-codon, and T loops). Further hydrogen bonds mediate the characteristic L-shaped molecular structure. tRNAs have two regions of fundamental functional importance: the anti-codon, which is responsible for specific mRNA codon recognition, and the 3' end, to which the tRNAs corresponding amino acid is attached (by aminoacyl-tRNA synthetases). tRNAs cope with the degeneracy of the genetic code in two manners: having more than one tRNA (with a specific anti-codon) for a particular amino acid; and 'wobble' base-pairing, i.e. permitting non-standard base-pairing at the 3rd anti-codon position. The record is from Rfam by way of RNAcentral. RNAcentral also lists the same sequence under 2 other names. Lineage: Eukaryota; Metazoa; Chordata; Mammalia; Artiodactyla; Camelidae.
GAAGGUAUAGCUUAGUACUAGAGCACAUGCCUAGCAUGCAUGAGGUCCUGGGUUCAAUCCCCAGUACCUCCA